This is a small nucleolar RNA of Cornus florida, 107 nucleotides long. The record is from RefSeq and is a predicted model, not a curated record. Lineage: Eukaryota; Viridiplantae; Streptophyta; Magnoliopsida; Cornales; Cornaceae.
AUGUCAUGAUGUGGACACUUCCUAAGCAAGUCAUUAAGGCGCUCCCAUGCCUCGUAAAACUAUUUCCCUUCCCCUUAAGAAAAUUCUGUAAUUGAAGUUCUCAUUAU